This 548-nucleotide long non-coding RNA is filed under the name Spirodela polyrhiza (greater duckweed). Its description in RNAcentral is "long non-coding RNA (SPOL_LNC000198)". The record is from RNAcentral. Lineage: Eukaryota; Viridiplantae; Streptophyta; Magnoliopsida; Alismatales; Araceae.
GGUAUAUCUUGCUCUACGUAUUUGAAAAUGAUUUUACGUGAUUUGGAUGAUCUUGAUUGUGAGUGUCUGAAUUAUUUGUGGCCCCAAGGGGUAGGUUUCUGGGAGAUUCUGCCUGGCCCACCCAGACCCAACUGGCCGUGUACAUUAGGUUCAUAUGGGCGAUUGCAAACAAAAGUGUCCGCUACAGGAACUCACUAUACUUACUCUAUGGGGAGGGGGGUGUUUGAGGGAUUGGGGGGUGGUUUCGCGUAAAGUUCUAAACGGCUUCAAUUACAGAGUUUUAGUUCGAUAAUAUCGUGCAGUUCUCAUUGAGAACUGGGUUCUUCACAUCCGGGCAGAGAUGAUUAGGCUUAUCAUGAAACAAUUUUUGAUCAGUUCAUGCUGUCUCGAUGCCACUCGCCAGAAGUUUUUGAGUCACUCUGAAAGCGAUCUCCAGCCUGGCAGCUGCUGUCAGAGCGACCUCAGCCUUGGUCAAACUUCUUUCAGCUCCUCCAGCUCAAGAGGGAGGACAUUCUCGCCAUGGAUAAUUCGUCUUAAGAAGAGGUUAU